Molecule: unclassified non-coding RNA, 379 nt
Filed under: uncultured bacterium
Lineage: Bacteria
Description: contains 16S-23S intergenic spacer region
Source: RNAcentral
UCCGGCUUAUCACCGGCAGUCCCACUAGAGUGCCCAACUGAAUGAUGGCAACUAAUGGCGAGGGUUGCGCUCGUUGCGGGACUUAACCCAACAUCUCACGACACGAGCUGACGACAGCCAUGCAGCACCUGUGUCCCGACCUAUUGCUAGGAGGAAUCCAUCUCUGGAAACCGUCCGGGCAUGUCAAGGCCAGGUAAGGUUCUUCGCGUUGCAUCGAAUUGAGCCACAUACUCCACCGCUUGUGCAGGCCCCCGUCAAUUUCUUUGAGUUUUAAUCUUGCGACCGUACUUCCCAGGCGGCACAUUUAACGCGUUAGCUUCGCCACGAACGGGGUCGAAUCCGUUCACAGCAAAUGUGCACCGUUUACAGCUAGGACUAC